GAGAUUGAACAGGUGAAGCAAAAGCUA
RNAcentral lists this non-coding RNA (27 nucleotides) under Homo sapiens (human). Lineage: Eukaryota; Metazoa; Chordata; Mammalia; Primates; Hominidae. The record is from RNAcentral.